RNAcentral lists this unclassified non-coding RNA (371 nucleotides) under uncultured bacterium. RNAcentral describes it as "contains 16S-23S intergenic spacer region". The record is from RNAcentral.
UCCUCCUUACAGAGGCAGUUUGUUUUGAGUUCCCGACAUUACUCGCUGGCAACAAAACAUGAGGGUUGCGCUCGUUGCGGGACUUAACCCAACAUUUCACAACACGAGCUGACGACAGCCAUGCACCACCUGUGCAACACCUUCGAAAGCGGCUCCGUUUCGGGAGCUUGCAGUUGCAUGUCAAGCCCUGGUAAGGUUCUUCGCGUUGCAUCGAAUUAAGCCACAUGCUCCACCGCUUGUGCGGGCCCCCGCCAAUUCCUUUGAGUUUCAACCUUGCGGCCGUAGUCCCCAGGCGGUUCACUUAAUGCGUUAGCUGCGGCACCGAGGGAAACCCCCGACACCUAGUGAACAUCGUUUAUGGCCAAGACUAC